AGAGUUUGAUCAUGGCUCAGAGCGAACGUUAGCGGCGCGCCUAACACAUGCAAGUCGCACGAGAAAGGGCUUCGGCCCCGGUAAAGUGGCGCACGGGUGAGUAACACGUGGGUAAUCUCCCCUCUGGCGGAGGACAACGUUCCGAAAGGGACGCUAAUACUGCAUAAGACCACGUUCACUUCGGUGGACGAGGGAAAAGCUGGCCUCUUCAUGAAAGCUAGCACCAGAGAAUGAGCCUGCGUCCCAUCAGCUUGUUGGUGAGGUAACGGCUCACCAAGGCAAAGACGGGUAGCUGGUCUGAGAGGACGAUCAGCCACACUGGCACUGGAACACGGGCCAGACUCCUACGGGAGGCAGCAGUGGGGAAUCUUGGUCAAUGGGCGCAAGCCUGAACCAGCGACGCCGCGUGAGUGAUGAAGGCCUUCGGGUUGUAAAGCUCUGUGGGGAGGGACGAACACGUUCUAGGCAAAUAGGCUAGGACCUUGACGGUACCUCCUAGCAAG
This 503-nucleotide ribosomal RNA is filed under the name uncultured Polyangiaceae bacterium. RNAcentral's name for it is "bacterial SSU rRNA". It matches the Rfam family "Bacterial small subunit ribosomal RNA", at positions 8 to 490 of the family's 1533-position model. The record is from RNAcentral. Lineage: Bacteria; Pseudomonadati; Myxococcota; Polyangiales; Polyangiaceae.